GGGAGGAAAAGAAACCAACCGGGAUUGCCUUAGUAACGGCGAGUGAAGCGGCAAAAGCUCAAAUUUGAAAUCUGGUACCUUCGGUGCCCGAGUUGUAAUUUGGAGAGGGCAACUUUGGGGCCGUUCCUUGUCUAUGUUCCUUGGAACAGGACGUCAUAGAGGGUGAGAAUCCCGUGUGGCGAGGAGUGCGGUUCUUUGUAAAGUGCCUUCGAAGAGUCGAGUUGUUUGGGAAUGCAGCUCUAAGUGGGUGGUAAAUUCCAUCUAAAGCUAAAUAUUGGCGAGAGACCGAUAGCGAACAAGUACAGUGAUGGAAAGAUGAAAAGAACUUUGAAAAGAGAGUGAAAAAGUACGUGAAAUUGUUGAAAGGGAAGGGCAUUUGAUCAGACAUGGUGUUUUGUGCCCUCUGCUCCUUGUGGGUAGGGGAAUCUCGCAUUUCACUGGGCCAGCAUCAGUUUUGGUGGCAGGAUAAAUCCAUAGGAAUGUAGCUUGCCUCGGUAAGUAUUAUAGCCUGUGGGAAUACUGCCAGCUGGGACUGAGGACUGCGACGUAAGUCAAGGAUGCUGGCAUAAUGGUUAUAUGCCGCCCGUCU
This 589-nucleotide ribosomal RNA is filed under the name Saccharomyces cerevisiae (brewer's yeast). Its description in RNAcentral is "partial large subunit ribosomal RNA". It matches the Rfam family "Eukaryotic large subunit ribosomal RNA", at positions 51 to 654 of the family's 3401-position model. The record is from RNAcentral. Lineage: Eukaryota; Fungi; Ascomycota; Saccharomycetes; Saccharomycetales; Saccharomycetaceae.